UCCUUAGAGUUGAAGGUCUUUCAUAAACAAUUUUUCUAUCUUUAUUAUGUAGGAAUAAGACCUACGUAUACUUUACACCUCCGAAUUCUACUUGUGAAAUUCACUAGACUUGUUAUAUGCAUCUUUUAGCAACUACGCAUGAUGAGCUAAUGGUAUCUUACUUUGAUUGCCUGUUUGAAGUCCUAUAAUCGAGAAAUGAAGAAUCGGGAAUUACAGUAAGACAGGUUUAGAUAAUUUUUUGUUAAAUUAUAUGUAUAAUAUUGAAGAGGAAUCCUCUCGUCACUGACAUAUCACAGGACGCCGAAUGGUUAUCCUCUAUGCAAUUAUAAUGCAAAGAUGUUAAGGGCAUGUAAGUUUGAAAUAUCUCUUAUACGUGUAUUUUUCUUUUAGAUUUUGAUAGAGGAAGUGUCUAAUCCCUCACCUGAACGGUGGCUUUAAUUAAG
RNAcentral lists this long non-coding RNA (443 nucleotides) under Nicotiana benthamiana. RNAcentral describes it as "long non-coding RNA (NBEN_LNC002637)". The record is from RNAcentral. Lineage: Eukaryota; Viridiplantae; Streptophyta; Magnoliopsida; Solanales; Solanaceae.